RNAcentral lists this ribosomal RNA (1323 nucleotides) under metagenome. RNAcentral describes it as "bacterial LSU rRNA". It matches the Rfam family "Bacterial large subunit ribosomal RNA", at positions 1576 to 2925 of the family's 2925-position model. The record is from RNAcentral.
AAAAAAGUAGGGAAAUGUGUGAGCCGGCUGCCGAGAAAAGCCGCUAUUGUUUGUACUGUACCCGUACCGUAAACCGACACAGGUGGAUGAGGAGAGAAUCCUAAGGCCGACGGAAGAAGCAUUGCUAAGGAACUCGGCAAAAUGACCCUGUAACUUCGGGAGAAAGGGUGCCUCGAAAGAGGCCGCAGAGAAUAGGCCCAAGCAACUGUUUAGCAAAAACACAGGUCUAUGCAAAACCGCAAGGUGAAGUAUAUGGGCUGACGCCUGCCCGGUGCUGGAAGGUUAAGGGGAGAUGUCAGGAGACGAAGCAUCGAACUUAAGCCCCAGUAAACGGCGGCCGUAACAAUAACGGUCCUAAGGUAGCGAAAUUCCUUGUCGGGUAAGUUCCGACCCGCACGAAAGGCGUAAUGAUUUGGGCGCUGUCUCGGCAAUGCAUCCGGUGAAAUUGAAGUGCCAGUGAAGAUGCUGGCUACCCGCGCCAGGACGGAAAGACCCCAUGGAGCUUUACUCCAGCUUGAUACUGGGAUUCGGUAUUGUAUGUACAGGAUAGGUGGGAGGCUGAGAAAUGGUGACGCCAGUCGCCAUGGAGCCGCUGUUGGGAUACCACCCUUGCAGUACUGGAUUUCUAACCAGCAGCCGUGAUCCGGCUGGGGGACAAUGUCAGGUGGGGAGUUUGACUGGGGCGGUCGCCUCCGGAAGGGUAUCGGAGGCGCUCAAAGGUUCCCUCAGAAUGGUCGGAAACCAUUCGAAGAGUGCAAAGGCAGAAGGGAGCUUGACUGCGACACCGACGGGUGGGGCAGGUACGAAAGUAGGACUUAGUGAUCCGGUGGUAUUAAGUGGGAAUGCCAUCGCUCAACGGAUAAAAGCUACCCUGGGAUAACAGGCUUAUCACUCCCAAGAGUUCACAUCGACGGAGUGGUUUGGCACCUCGAUGUCGGCUCAUCGCAUCCUGGGGCUGUAGUAGGUCCCAAGGGUUGGGCUGUUCGCCCAUUAAAGCGGUACGCGAGCUGGGUUCAGAACGUCGUGAGACAGUUCGGUCCCUAUCCGGCGUGGGCGUAGGAUAAUUGAGAGGAGCUGACCUUAGUACGAGAGGACCGGGUUGGACUGACCUCUGGUGCACCGGUUGUCAUGCCAAUGGCACAGCCGGGUAGCCAAGUCGGGAAGGGAUAAACGCUGAAGGCAUCUAAGCGUGAAGCCCCCCUCAAGAUGAGAUAUCCCCCGCAUAAGCGGUAAGACCCCUUGAAGACGACGAGGUAGAUAGGGCAGAGGUGGAAGUGCAGUAAUGUAUGGAGCUGACUGCUACUAAUAGGUCGAAGGCUUAAC